UGGGGAAUAUUGCACAAUGGGGGAAACCCUGAUGCAGCGACGCCGCGUGAGCGAAGAAGGCUUUCGAGUCGUAAAGCUCUGUCCUAUGAGAAGAUAAUGACGGUACCAACAGAAGAAGUGACGGCUAAAUACGUGCCAGCAGCCGCGGUAAUACGUAUGUCACGAGCGUUAUCCGGAUUUAUUGGGCGUAAAGCGCGUCUAGGUGGUUAUAUAAGUCUGAUGUGAAAAUGCAGGGCUCAACUCUGUAUUGCGUUGGAAACUGUAUAACUAGAGUACUGGAGAGGUAAGCGGAACUACAAGUGUAGAGGUGAAAUUCGUAGAUAUUUGUAGGAAUGCCGAUGGGGAAGCCAGCUUACUGGACAGAUACUGACGCUGAAGCGCGAAAGCGUGGGUAGCAAACAGG
Molecule: ribosomal RNA, 403 nt
Filed under: Verrucomicrobiota bacterium
Lineage: Bacteria; Pseudomonadati; Verrucomicrobiota
Description: Verrucomicrobia bacterium partial 16S ribosomal RNA
Rfam family: Bacterial small subunit ribosomal RNA
Source: RNAcentral